This 496-nucleotide ribosomal RNA is filed under the name uncultured bacterium. Its description in RNAcentral is "partial 16S ribosomal RNA". It matches the Rfam family "Bacterial small subunit ribosomal RNA", at positions 28 to 507 of the family's 1533-position model. The record is from RNAcentral.
GAUGAACGCUGGCGGCGUGCCUAAUACAUGCAAGUCGAGCGAACGGAUGAGAAGCUUGCUUCUCUGAUGUUAGCGGCGGACGGGUGAGUAACACGUGGAUAACCUACCUAUAAGACUGGGAUAACUUCGGGAAACCGGAGCUAAUACCGGAUGAUAUUUUGAACCGCAUGGUUCAAAAGUGAAAGACGGUCUUGCUGUCACUUAUAGAUGGAUCCGCGCUGCAUUAGCUAGUUGGUAAGGUAACGGCUUACCAAGGCAACGAUGCAUAGCCAACCUGAGAGGUGGUCGGCCCCCCUAGAACAUGAGACACGACCCAGCUCCUUAGGGACGGCACCGGUGGGGACCUUUCGCAACUGGCGAAAGCCUGACGGAGCAACGCCGCGUGAGUGAUGAAGGUCUUCGGAUCGUAAAACUCUGUUAUUAGGGAAGAACAUAUGUGUAAGUAACUGUGCACAGCUUGACGGUACCUAAUCAGAAAGCCACGGCUAACUACGUG